This 887-nucleotide long non-coding RNA is filed under the name Olea europaea subsp. europaea. The record is from RNAcentral. Lineage: Eukaryota; Viridiplantae; Streptophyta; Magnoliopsida; Lamiales; Oleaceae.
UUUUUAGUUCAAUCCCUUUCCCAGCCUAGAGAAGCCCACUAGCCCAAUCAACAUCUCAUGACCCAUUUACUGAUUCAUAACCCAUUCCCCUCAAUUGAAUCAAUUGCUUCGAUUCAUAUUUCAUUCAGCCGUUGUCUGUUCGCACUUUGCUGCCUCUCCUCUCAGCCCAUCAGCCGCGGUGCCCAUCUCCGACUGGCCACUCAACCUCCUCCUCAAUCUUUCCGUAACCUCCGUCGUCCGACCUCCGUUGCAGGCAAGUGGCAACACGUUGCUCCGGACCGUCCAUAGACCGUAACCUCCGCAUCGCAGGGCCGCAGCUCCGUCUUAGCCGCUCCUUAACCUUCGAGGCAGGCAACUGUCAAUUGGCGAUUCUUUCGGGCUCCAGCAAUCGGCGGCAGCCAGCAAAAGAAGAAGGUGAAGCCUCUAUUUCCAAAUUCCGUCGACCCUGAUUUUGAAGCUUUUUCCAUUAUUUUUUAUUAUUUUAAUUUGUGUAAAUUGUAAUAAUAUUUGAUUUUUUUUUUUAACAUAUGAAAUUAGCACUUUAUUCUUCAAUUGCUCGAAGUGGUACUUCCUGCAUGUUGCUCUUCAAUUGAUUUUGGUAUUUUGUUAAUAGACAGUGAGAGUGAGACAAACUUCCAGAUCAUUGUUGCCUCUAGCCCUCUGCGAUUGUAAGUUGCUAACUCUAUCACUGGAAUGAAAAUAGAAUAUAUUGUUGUCCUGUAAAAUUGUGAAUUGCAGUUGAAUUGAUUUUAGGAAAUUGUGAAUUGGACUGUGAAUUGAUUACUUGAAAUUGUGAAUUACACUAGAUUUUGAUAGUUGCUUCCAAUAUUUGUGAUUCUUUAGUCGUAAUAUUGUUUUUUUUUUUUUUUUUAUCAUCAUUAACUCCA